AGUGGUAUGAGUGAUCCUUUGACCUACGGUGAUAUUGGCUAUUUGCAGCGAGACUACUGAGUUUGACUGUACAUUUUUUUGGUCCCUAACCAUUAGGAUCCUUGCUGUGUAAGUUGGCUUCAGUAGGUUCAGAUUUGCUGUUUGGAGUAAGAUGCACCUAGAUAGAAUUUAUCGAUCUUGGUAGAAAAGAAGAAGUUCUAUAUGAUUUGCAAG
Molecule: long non-coding RNA, 213 nt
Filed under: Elaeis guineensis (African oil palm)
Lineage: Eukaryota; Viridiplantae; Streptophyta; Magnoliopsida; Arecales; Arecaceae
Description: long non-coding RNA (EGUI_LNC040237)
Source: RNAcentral